This 805-nucleotide long non-coding RNA is filed under the name Hordeum vulgare. Its description in RNAcentral is "long non-coding RNA (HVUL_LNC012210)". The record is from RNAcentral. Lineage: Eukaryota; Viridiplantae; Streptophyta; Magnoliopsida; Poales; Poaceae.
CGGCAUCCUGGCCAUGGACGAGUCCAACGCCACCUGCGGGAAGCGCCUCGACUCGAUCGGCCUGGAGAACACGGAGGCCAACCGGCAGGCGUUCCGCACGCUGCUGGUCUCCGUACCUGGCCUCGGCAACCACAUUUCCGGCGCCAUCCUCUUCGAGGAGACGCUCUACCAGUCCACCGUCGACGGCAAGAAGAUUGUCGACAUCCUGGCAGAGCAGGGCAUCGUGCCCGGGAUCAAGGUGGACAAGGGCCUCGUGCCGCUCACCGGCUCCAACGACGAGUCUUGGUGUCAGGGCCUCGACGGCCUCGCCUCCCGGGAGGCCGCCUACUACCAGCAGGGCGCCCGCUUCGCCAAGUGGCGCACCGUGGUCAGCAUCCCCAACGGCCCCUCCGAGCUCGCCGUCAAGGAGGCCGCCUGGGGCCUCGCCCGCUACGCCGCCAUCUCGCAGGACAACGGCCUGGUGCCCAUAGUGGAGCCGGAGAUCCUGCUGGACGGGGAGCACGGCAUCGGGCGCACCUUCGAGGUGGCGCAGAAGGUGUGGGCCGAGACAUUCUACCAGAUGUCCCAGAACAACGUCAUGUUCGAGGGCAUCCUGCUCAAACCCAGCAUGGUCACCCCUGGCGCUGAGUGCAAGGACAGGGCCACGCCGGAGCAGGUGGCCGACUACACCCUCAAGCUCCUCAGCCGCCGCGUGCCGCCCGCCGUCCCGGGCAUCAUGUUCCUGUCGGGAGGGCAGUCCGAGGUGGAGGCCACGCUCAACCUCAACGCCAUGAACCAGGGGCCCAACCCGUGGCACGUCUCCUUC